Molecule: ribosomal RNA, 252 nt
Filed under: uncultured bacterium
Lineage: Bacteria
Description: partial 16S ribosomal RNA
Rfam family: Bacterial small subunit ribosomal RNA
Source: RNAcentral
UACGUAGGGGGCGAGCGUUAUCCGGAAUUACUGGGCGUAAAGAGCUCGUAGGCGGUUUGUCGCGUCGUCUGUGAAAACUCGAGGCUCAACCUCGAGCUUGCAGGCGAUACGGGCAGACUUGAGUACUGCAGGGGAGACUGGAAUUCCUGGUGUAGCGGUGAAAUGCGCAGAUAUCAGGAGGAACACCGGUGGCGAAGGCGGGUCUCUGGGCAGUAACUGACGCUGAGGAGCGAAGCGUGGGUAGCGAACAGG